RNAcentral lists this ribosomal RNA (403 nucleotides) under uncultured bacterium. Its description in RNAcentral is "partial 16S ribosomal RNA". It matches the Rfam family "Bacterial small subunit ribosomal RNA", at positions 30 to 526 of the family's 1533-position model. The record is from RNAcentral.
AUUGAACGCUGGCGGCAGGCCUAACACAUGCAAGUCGAGCGAGCGGCGGACGGGUGAGUAAUGUAUGGGGGCUGCCCGAUAGAGGGGGAUAACUCCUGGACACGGUCGCUAAUACCGCAUACUCUCGGAUUACCCACAUGGGCUUAGCUAGUAGGUGAGGUAAUGGCUCACCUAGGCGACGAUCCCUCGAUGGUCUGAGAGGAUGAUCAGCCACACGGGAACUGAGACACGGCCCAGACUCUUACGGAGGCAGCAGUGGGGAAUAUUGCACAAUGGGCGCAAGCCUGAUGCAGCCAUGCCGCGUGUAUGAAGAAGGCCCUAGGGUUGUAAAGUACUUUUGGCAGAGAAGCGGUAUCUGCAGAAUAAGCACCGGCUAACUACGUGCCAGCAGCCGCGGUAAUUC